UCCCUAGUACUGCGAGUGAAGUGGGAAAAGCUCAAAUUUAAAAUCUGACAGUCUUUGACUGUCUGAGUUGUAACCUAGAGAAGUGCUACCUGUGCUGGACCAUGUAUAAGUCUCCUGGAAUGGAGUGUCAGAGAGGGUGAGAAUCCCGUCCUUUGACAUGGACUGCCAGUGCAUUGUGGUGUGCUCUCAAAGAGUCGAGUUGUUUGGGAAUGCAGCUCUAAAUGGGUGGUAAAUUCCAUCUAAAGCUAAAUAUUGGCGAGAGACCGAUAGUGAACAAGUACCGUGAGGGAAAGAUGAAAAGAACUUUGGAAAGAGAGUUAAACAGUACGUGAAAUUGUUGAAAGGGAAACAUUUGAAGUCAGUUGUGUUAGCUGGGGAUCAACCUGGCUUUUCUGCUUGGGUGUAUUUCCUGGUUGACAGGCCAACAUCAGUUUUGACCAUUAGAAAAAGACCAAGGAAAUGUGGCACCUUUGGGUGUGUUAUAGUCCUUGGUUGUAUGUGAUGGUUAGGACUGAGGCAUGCAGCACACUACUAGGCUGGGCUUUGCCACAUUUGUGCUUAGGAUGUUGGCAUAAUGGCUUUAAGUGACCCGUCUUGAAACACGGACCAAGGAGUCUAACAUGCCUGCAAGUGCUUGGGUGGAAAACCCAUGUGCAAAAUGAAAGUGAAAGUUGAGAAUCCCUGUCAUAGGGAGCAUUGACACUCAGACCAGAACUUUUGGGACGGAUCUGCGGUAGAGCAUGCAUGUUGGGACCCGAAAGAUGGUGAACUAUGCCUGAAUAGGGUGAAGCCAGAGGAAACUCUGGUGGAGGCUCGUAGCGAUUCUGACGUGCAAAUCGAUCGUCGAAUUUGGGUAUAGGGCGAAAGACUAUCGA
RNAcentral lists this ribosomal RNA (875 nucleotides) under Amanita ponderosa. RNAcentral's name for it is "eukaryotic LSU rRNA". It matches the Rfam family "Eukaryotic large subunit ribosomal RNA", at positions 77 to 938 of the family's 3401-position model. The record is from RNAcentral. Lineage: Eukaryota; Fungi; Basidiomycota; Agaricomycetes; Agaricales; Amanitaceae.